AACGAACGCUGGCGGCAUGCCUAACACAUGCCAGUCGAACGAGACCUUCGGGUCUAGUGGCGCACGGGUGCGUAACGCGUGGGAACCUGCCCUUAGGUUCGGAAUAACUCCCCGAAAGGGGUGCUAAUACCGGAUAAUGUCUUCGGACCAAAGAUUUAUCGCCUUAGGAUGGGCCCGCGUUGGAUUAGCUAGUUGGUAGGGUAAAAGCCUACCAAGGCGACGAUCCAUAGCUGGUCUGAGAGGAUGAUCAGCCACACUGGGACUGAGACACGGCCCAGACUCCUACGGGAGGCAGCAGUGGGGAAUAUUGGACAAUGGGCGAAAGCCUGAUCCAGCAAUGCCGCGUGAGUGAUGAAGGCCUUAGGGUUGUAAAGCUCUUUUACCCGGGAUGAUAAUGACAGUACCGGGAGAAUAAGCUCCGGCUAACUCCGUG
This 433-nucleotide ribosomal RNA is filed under the name uncultured bacterium. Its description in RNAcentral is "partial 16S ribosomal RNA". It matches the Rfam family "Bacterial small subunit ribosomal RNA", at positions 29 to 507 of the family's 1533-position model. The record is from RNAcentral.